CAGCCGCCGCGGUAAUACGAAGGGGGCAAGCGUUGUUCGGAAUUACUGGGCGUAAAGGGCGCGUAGGCGGUGCACUAAGUCAGGCGUGAAAGCCCAGGGCUCAACCCUGGAAUUGCCUUUAAGACUGCCGAGCUAGUAGGUGAGAAAGGUGAGUGGAAUUCCGAGUGUAGAGGUGAAAUUUGUAGAUAUUCGGAAGAACACCAGUGGCGAAGGCGGCUCACUGGCUCAUUCUAGACGCUGAGGUGCGAAAGCGUGGGGAGCAAACAGGAUUAGAUACCGCGUAGUCCCUGUCUCUUAUACC
RNAcentral lists this ribosomal RNA (301 nucleotides) under uncultured bacterium. RNAcentral describes it as "partial 16S ribosomal RNA". It matches the Rfam family "Bacterial small subunit ribosomal RNA", at positions 509 to 808 of the family's 1533-position model. The record is from RNAcentral.